RNAcentral lists this ribosomal RNA (253 nucleotides) under uncultured bacterium. Its description in RNAcentral is "partial 16S ribosomal RNA". It matches the Rfam family "Bacterial small subunit ribosomal RNA", at positions 524 to 776 of the family's 1533-position model. The record is from RNAcentral.
UACAUGGGGUGCAAACGUUGCUCGGAAUUAUUGGGCGUAAAGCGCACGUAGGCGGUUCGUUAAGUCGGAUGUGAAAGCCCUCGGCUCAACUGAGGAAGUGCACCCGAAACUGGCGAGCUUGAGUACGAAAGAGGAUCGCGGAAUUCCCGGUGUAGAGGUGAAAUGCGCAGAUAUCAGGAGGAACACCGGUGGCGAAGGCGGGUCUCUGGGCAAUAACUGACGCUGAGGAGCGAAAGCGUGGGGAGCGAACAGG